AGAGGUGCAGCUCCUGCAAAGAGUAGACAAAGCAGAGAAAAUAUUGAUUCUUGCUCAAGAAGAUAUCUCAUGUCUUCAGAGAGGCACCAGUGUUGAUUUCUGAAGGAGACAUGGCGAGAUGGAAAAAAGCUAGCCCAACAGAAACCAAUAAGUAAGGAACUGAAGUUAAAGUCUUAAAUACUACACUGUCUGUAGAUGGAAAAGGGACUACAUCAUCAGACUGAUUCAGUUCUACAAG
Non-coding RNA from Paramisgurnus dabryanus, 238 nucleotides. The record is from RefSeq and is a predicted model, not a curated record. NCBI's taxonomy places the organism in Eukaryota, Metazoa, Chordata, Actinopteri, Cypriniformes, Cobitidae.